UACAUCCUGUGUUUGUUUCUUUUAUUUUCUCGGUUUUCUUUUCUUGAAUUUUUACCGACUGCCCUUUUUUUGUGCUUUUUCUUUUGAAUCUUCGAGUGUUCGAUUUUUAUUUUUCUUUCUUUUUCUCGAUUCAUCAAUUUUUCUUUUUCUUUGGUUUUUUGCACUUUCUAGGGCUUUGAGAGCUUUUAGGGUUUUUACCCCAAACUUAGCUUUUCAACACAGCUGGAAUAUAGGCUCAAAGGGGGUUAAAGAGGGAUAUAAUAAUUCGGGAUGGCUAGAAAGGCUCGGGGUUAAUUACAAACAACGUGCCUCAGUGUGUGUAUGAUGCAGUGACAGUCCCAGAGAGUCUACGCAAAUUCAGAGUGAUAAAGACAAACCUG
This 380-nucleotide long non-coding RNA is filed under the name Lathyrus oleraceus (garden pea). RNAcentral describes it as "Pisum sativum (pea) long non-coding RNA (PSAT_LNC029836)". Lineage: Eukaryota; Viridiplantae; Streptophyta; Magnoliopsida; Fabales; Fabaceae. The record is from RNAcentral.